Molecule: long non-coding RNA, 395 nt
Organism: Canis lupus familiaris (dog)
Lineage: Eukaryota; Metazoa; Chordata; Mammalia; Carnivora; Canidae
Exons: 3
Source: RefSeq, a predicted model, not a curated record
GAGCAGCUUCUCCUGCACCUGGAGGGUGCCCCCAACUUGGGGCUCUCAUCACAGGAACAGUGAGAAGAGAAUGCACUUCCCAUCCCGUGGGCCUGGCUACAGAUUCAGCCUCCAGCGCUCACUCGAUGUGUGACUUGGGCAAGGGAUGGAGCCUCCUCAGUGUUCCCUUCUGUAAAAUGGGCACAGCAAGACCGGCCACCUGGGGUUAUCAUUCUAGGUCCCGAGGGAGCGCGGGCACCGGGUGGCCCCUACAGACGCCCCUUCCGGCCACCGCUGCGCUGACCGCUGGGGAACCAGGCCACUGGCCCCGAUGACACGUUCGGGAACAGACCGACCCGUCUUGCAUGCGCGCUGGAGGCUCUGGAAAGUGCCGACUGGUAAAUAUGAGAAGCAGG